Molecule: long non-coding RNA, 478 nt
Organism: Phyllopteryx taeniolatus (common seadragon)
Lineage: Eukaryota; Metazoa; Chordata; Actinopteri; Syngnathiformes; Syngnathidae
Exons: 2
Source: RefSeq, a predicted model, not a curated record
UCAAAAGUCAAAACAGCAGCCUGUCACCGAAGCUGCUCCUCUGCCUGAAGAUGGCGCCGUGCACUGGACGUUCCCACGGAAGCUUGCCAAGCGUCGUCCUCCGUUCUGCCACAGAUGGCACGAUGGCCAGCUCUGUGCCAACGCAACCACAGAUAGGUAGCGGCAAUAGCCGCCCGCUUCGGCCGGCGCUGGCCAACCACGGAUGACCCGCUCGCGUUGGCACGCGAGCGCCGCGUCACAAGCGGCGCUGCUGACGGCUCGGCAAUCGCAGUGCCUCGUGGCCAAAGCGCACAGCGGCAGGAUUUGCUGAAUAUCGCAACAACUCACAUAUACUGCAUGUGCUUUUAUUCUGGAGUGUUGUACAAAAACACAUUUGCAACUACUAACCUAAUUGCAUGGAACUAAAGUCAUCAAUCAUCAAGCACCUUUGUUUUUUGUUGUGACUUUUAGGGCGUAAUAAAUGAGCUUUUCUUCAUCA